Molecule: long non-coding RNA, 595 nt
Filed under: Macaca mulatta (Rhesus monkey)
Lineage: Eukaryota; Metazoa; Chordata; Mammalia; Primates; Cercopithecidae
Description: lncRNA (ENSMMUG00000052072.1)
Source: RNAcentral
CAGCUAGCGUCCGUGCCGGCAACGCGGGUACCCGGGCUGGAGAGUGGCGCCGUCCCUCCCCCGCCCCCAGGCGUCCCUGGGGUCGGCGCCAGAGCCUGGGAGCCCCGGAGGCUCUGGCUCGAUGGCGGCGAGGCGGGCUCUGGGUCCUCUCCCGGCCAGGCCGAGCUUAGUAUGUGGAGGCGGCGGCGGGAGCGUGGGCAUGGACCAAGGGAAGGGGGACCCCCCCCAAACCGCACUGGUGCUUUCCUUUCCCUCCACUCGCGCCGUAGCCCUCCCCAAAUUGCCCGUCUCCGGUAGGACUGAAUCUGUCUGCUGGCCUCUCAGCUACCAACUUUGCCCGAAAUCUAGAUCCCAGACCUGGGGCAGCUCCACCAAACUACAUCAUCGUCACUUAGCACAGCACUUACUCUCUCUAAUAAAAAAAAACACUCCAGGUGCUAUACUGGAUGGAUUAUUAUCAACAGAGGACUCCAAAAUUUGGUUUAUGCCCUACUCUUUCAAGAUGCAAGGCAGGCUGAAGUCUCAGAUGUGUUUUCUGCAUGCUAACGUGACAACUGAAAAAAAAUCUGGCCUGAUGCGUGAAGACAGUAAGUAG